GAUGAACGCUGGCGGCGCGCCUAACACAUGCAAGUCGAACGGCACCCCUCCUCGGAGGGAAGCGAGUGGCGAACGGCUGAGUAACACGUGGAGAACCUGCCCCCUCCCCCGGGAUAGCCGCCCGAAAGGACGGGUAAUACCGGAUACCCCGGGGUGCCGCAUGGCACCCCGGCUAAAGCCCCGACGGGGGGGGAUGGCUCCGCGGCCCAUCAGGUAGACGGCGGGGUGACGGCCCACCGUGCCGACAACGGGUAGCCGGGUUGAGAGACCGACCGGCCAGAUUGGGACUGAGGCACGGCCCAGACUCCUACGGGAGGCAGCAGUGGGGAAUCUUGCGCAAUGGGGGGAACCCUGACGCAGCGACGCCGCGUGCGGGACGGAGGCCUUCGGGUCGUAAACCGCUUUCAGCAGGGAAGAGUCAAGACUGUACCUGCAGAAGAAGCCCCGGCUAACUACGUG
This 459-nucleotide ribosomal RNA is filed under the name uncultured bacterium. RNAcentral describes it as "partial 16S ribosomal RNA". It matches the Rfam family "Bacterial small subunit ribosomal RNA", at positions 28 to 507 of the family's 1533-position model. The record is from RNAcentral.